GUAGCGAAAUUCCUUGUCGGGUAAGUUCCGACCUGCACGAAUGGCGUAACGAGGGCCACACUGUCUCCACCCGAGACUCAGUGAAAUUGAAAUUGCUGUUAAGAUGCAGUAUACCCGCGGCCAGACGGAAAGACCCCGUGCACCUUUACUACAGCUUUGCAUUGAACUCUGAUCCUACCUGUGUAGGAUAGGUGGGAGACUUUGAAACUUUAACGCUAGUUAGAGUGGAGUCAUCCUUGAAAUACCACCCUGGUAUGGUUGGGGUUCUAACCUUGGUCCGUUAUCCGGAUUGGGGACAAUGCAUGGUGGGUAGUUUGACUGGGGCGGUCUCCUCCCAAAGAGUAACGGAGGAGCGCAAAGGUACCCUCAGCACGGUCGGACAUCGUGCAAUGAGCGCAAAGGUAAAAGGGUGCUUGACUGCGAGACUGACACGUCGAGCAGGUAGGAAACUAGGUCUUAGUGAUCCGGUGGUUCUGAGUGGAAGGACCAUCGCUCAACGGAUAAAAGGUACGCCGGGGAUAACAGGCUGAUACCGCCCAAGAGUUCACAUCGACGGCGGUGUUUGGCACCUCGAUGUCGGCUCAUCACAUCCUGGGGCUGAAGCAGGUCCCAAGGGUAUGGCUGUUCGCCAUUUAAAGUGGUACGCGAGCUGGGUUUAGAACGUCGUGAGACAGUUCGGUCCCUAUCUACCGUGGGCGUUGGAGACUUGAGGGAAGCUGUUCUUAGUACGAGAGGACCGGAAUGGACACACCUCUGGUGUUUCGGUUAUGACGCCAGUCGUAUUGCCGAGUAGCUAUGUGUGGAAAGGAUAACCGCUGAAAGCAUCUAAGCGGGAAGCCCCUCCCAAGAUUAGGUCUCCCUGACAGUUUAACUGUCCUAAAGAUCCCUCGGAGACUACGAGGUUGAUAGGCACGGUGUGGAAGAGUAGUGAUACUUGAAGCUAACGUGUACUAAUUGAUCGUGAGGCUUGACCAUAUAACACCCAA
RNAcentral lists this ribosomal RNA (986 nucleotides) under Gammaproteobacteria bacterium. RNAcentral describes it as "bacterial LSU rRNA". It matches the Rfam family "Bacterial large subunit ribosomal RNA", at positions 1956 to 2925 of the family's 2925-position model. Lineage: Bacteria; Pseudomonadati; Pseudomonadota; Gammaproteobacteria. The record is from RNAcentral.